Molecule: long non-coding RNA, 387 nt
Filed under: Calidris pugnax (ruff)
Lineage: Eukaryota; Metazoa; Chordata; Aves; Charadriiformes; Scolopacidae
Description: lncRNA (ENSCPUG00000014705.1)
Source: RNAcentral
AGUUGCUUGACUUGACCUUAGGCAGUAUGAGGUCAAGAAAUAUUAAUAAAAUGCUUUCUUAACUGUUUAUUUCUGCUUUUUUUUAUAUAUCCUUGUUGUGACGUGACAGAGCAUUUGAGGUCAACUGCCAAGCUAUCAGUGGAGAUGGAGUAAAGCACCUUUAUCUAAGCCUUUGCUAACACGGUGCUCAGCCGUGACUCAGAGAGGGUGUAAAACACUCGUGCAGACUAAGAUUGUAGAUCUUCGCCCACAUCCACUCUUCUUGUGACAUGUGAGUUAAUCUCUGCAAAUAUUUAAUUUUUAAAAGAUAAUUUUGAAGCUCCUGCAGUUUCUAAAAGACUGGAAUUUGGGGUGGGGGGAUAGAGGGCAGGGUGUCAUUUACUCUGA